Molecule: ribosomal RNA, 377 nt
Filed under: uncultured Prevotella sp.
Lineage: Bacteria; Pseudomonadati; Bacteroidota; Bacteroidia; Bacteroidales; Prevotellaceae
Description: bacterial SSU rRNA
Rfam family: Bacterial small subunit ribosomal RNA
Source: RNAcentral
UGAGGAAUAUUGGUCGAUGGACGAGAGUCCGAACCAGCCAAGUAGCGUGCAGGAUGACGGCCCUAUGGGUUGUAAACUGCUUUUAUGUGGGAAUAAAUAAGAUUACGUGUAAUCUGUUGCAUGUACCACAUGAAUAAGGACCGGCUAAUUCCGUGCCAGCAGCCGCGGUAAUACGGAAGGUCCGGGCGUUAUCCGGAUUUAUUGGGUUUAAAGGGAGCGUAGGCGGUCUGUUAAGCGUGUUGUGAAAUGUAACGGCUCAACCGUUGACUUGCAGCGCGAACUGGCAGUCUUGAGUGCGCAGGAAGUAGGCGGAAUUCGUGGUGUAGCGGUGAAAUGCUUAGAUAUCACGAAGAACUCCGAUUGCGAAGGCAGCUUAC